Non-coding RNA from Parasteatoda tepidariorum (common house spider), 2366 nucleotides. NCBI's taxonomy places the organism in Eukaryota, Metazoa, Arthropoda, Arachnida, Araneae, Theridiidae. The record is from RefSeq and is a predicted model, not a curated record.
UUUUAGCUUUGCUCAACUUUUCACGUGUUUUUUUUUUUUUUGUAGACAAUAUUUUAAAUAUUCUUCUUUGUUUUUAAGUGAUUGGUGUUUUUUAAGUUUGCACAACUUGUUUUCGUCUGAUGAAAAAGUGUUGAAAUUUUCUCAUUCUGUUAUGUGAAGUUAAUUAAUAAUUAUUGUAAAGACACUGUAUGAUGUGUUUUUUCUGAUAUUAUGUAUUUGCAAGAAGAUUUUUUUGUUAAUACCUUUAAAUAUGAUGUAUAUAAAAUUAUAGCUAAGUUAUUUAUUUUAAGUAAGCAUAAAUAGUUGCUUGAUCUUCCUAUAACUCCAUUACUCGACAAUUAUUACCAGAGACUAAUUAGAUAUUAUGCAUUCAUCAAAGUAUAAACAAUUUUGAUAGAUGAUGCAGCAAAGUUUACUUGCUUUUGUAAACCAUUCUUUAUUUUAUUUCCUGUUUUUUUCUAAUAAUAUUAUGCUCCUUAAAAUUCUAGAAAUAACAUGUUUCUGACUGUAAUAAUAGCUUGAAAUCCUCCUUAACAGGUAUCUAUUGAAAAAUUUAUUAAUGAAACUCAUUGGCAUAAAUUUCUAUGGUAAUUUCGUUAAAUUUUGAGUAAGUUAGUUACAGUUUUUAAAAUUAUAAUUCUAAAAAAUUUAACAGUAUUUAGUUGCAGGGUUAUGAAGAAAAGUUAGUAUUCAGAUUAUUAAAAUGUUAUUAUUUUUUUAAUAAUUUUAUUGUUAUUUAAAAAUUUUACUAUUACAGUUGUUAUAUUGUUUUAAACUUUCAUUACUAACAUGUUUAUUUAUAUUUUAUUUCAUUUUAAUUACAUGUUUUAUUUAAUUUAAUUUAGGAAAUUAUAAAUUCAUGUGUUUGUUUUAAUUUGAUUGUUUUUCCAACGAUCAACUCAAUCGCUGUUUUAGAAUAUGUAUUGUAGCUUUAAAAUGAAUGAUUUCUAAUGAUUGCAGAUUUUUCUUUUUCAUGGUGAUCUCUUUACAACUUUGUAAUGUUGGUUGAUUUCUGUUUUAUUUUUGUAAUUACAUGUUUUUUAUUUAAAAUUAUAUAAUAUUUUAAUAGAUUUAAAUAUUAAAUUUCUAAUUUAUCUUGGUUAUGAACAAUUCAUAAUUAAGAUAAAUGAGUUGAUCAAAUAUGAACAAUUGAAGUUAAACAUGUAUCAAAAUCAAUUGAACAAUUAUCAAAAUAGGAAUUUUUUUAAAAAUGUUUACAGGUUGAAUGAAGAAUAUUUUGGUGACAAAAUCAUAAAACGAUACAAAAAUAUAAAAAUCAAAACAUAUUUAUUGCAGUGAUAACAAUAUUUAAUAAAAAUAAGCUUUUAAUAUUUUACUGCUUUCAGAAUAAUUGGUUUUGAAAGCGAAAAGUGGAUGAUUCGGCAUUUUUUGUUUCUAAGUCAAAGUAAAAUGCUAAGAUCUCAAAACACUUUCAUGUGCUAUUUUAUAGAGGCAUGAUAAUCUAAGCAUUUAUAGUUUAAUUUUAAGCUCAAUAACAUUUUAAAAGAUUAAACUUACUGUUUGACCAUUAAAAGUGAGCUGGCCAGUGGAAAUUUAGCGCCUUUUUGUAAAUAUAAAUAUUGUAAAAGCGAUUUGUAUUUAAUUCUACACUUUUAACAUAAAAUGAUUAUUUUAUUUGAUAAUUUUUAAAAUUAUUAGAUAUUAACAGGAAAGUUAAAAUUUUUUUAAAAAUACCUACUUUUGCUUUUACUUGUGUGAUUAAGAUUAUUUAAAAAAAUUAUUAAAUUUCACUAUUUUUAAUUUAAUUUAAAAAAAAAUUUAAUUGUAUAAUAAUUUAAUAUCCUUAAUUUUUGUAACAUGUUAUAUGCAUUAAUAAAUUUUAUUUUUGGAAAAUUCACCGAAAAUGGUUUAACAAACUAGGUCAUUGUUAUACAGCCUUUUGCUUUAUGAUUUUGUCUUAAAAAUUGCUCAUGGAAUAAUAUCAUGAGCAAUUUCUCCCAAUAAUUGGAUAUUUUUCUUUUAUAAUUCUUUUAAAAAAUGUAUACCAAAUCUUUCAAAAACUAAUUCAUUGUCAUUCAGGCAUUUGCUUGUUAUUAUGAAUUAGCCUUAAAAAUUGCCCAUUCUGUAACAUAGGUAAUUUUUAUGACAAAAUCUAGUUAGAAAUUGACCAACAAUUUCCUUUUCUGUAACACUGUUUGAUUAUUAUAAUUAUAUUUAGCAUUGUUUGUAACCAAAAGAAAAAAUAAGAAUGAUUACUUCAUAUGUGAGAGUGUGUAGAAUUAGUUGUGCAAGCAGUUGAAUGUUUACAUUUUGAUAAUGAAUCUGUGUGGAUUAUCAAUAAACAAUUUGCCAAAUCAGUUAACAAUUGUAAAUUGGUAUUUUAGGUUUAAAGGAAUAAAGUUUUA